AGCUCCAACAGUUUAUAUUAAUACUGCUGCGGUUGAAACGCUCGUAGUUGGGAAUUUGUUGUAUAUUAUUGGUCUAUCCCAGUGUUCAGUACUGUAUAUGAAUGCAGCAUUUCCUUGAACAGCUAUCUACACUUAAUUGUGUAUUGUGUUGAAUCAAUCUGUAUACUUUGAAGAAAUGAGAGUGUUUUAAGCAAUUUAAUUGAAGGAUACAUUAGCAUGGAAUAACACUUUACGAUCUGAUUUUGUGUCUGUUGGUUGCCGAAGUAAGAUCAUAAAGAGGAGGAUAAUUGGUGGUACUUAUAUUGCGCAGUCAGAGGUGAAAUUCUUGGAUCUUCGCAAGAUUAUCGAUUGCGGAAGCAUUUGUCAAGAGUGUUUUUA
Molecule: ribosomal RNA, 378 nt
Filed under: uncultured eukaryote
Lineage: Eukaryota
Description: SSU rRNA
Rfam family: Eukaryotic small subunit ribosomal RNA
Source: RNAcentral